CCCCUAGAUGUUCUGGGCCGCACGCGCGCUACACUGACGAAUGCAACGAGCUUAUAACCUUGGCCGAAAGGUCUGGGUAAUCUCCAAAUUUCGUCGUGAUGGGGAUAGAUUAUUGCAAUUAUUAAUCUUCAACGAGGAAUGCCUAGUAAGCGCAAGUCAUCAGCUUGCGUUGAUUACGUCCCUGCCCUUUGUACACACCGCCCGUCGCUCCUACCGAUUGAAUGGUCCGGUGAAGCGCUCGGACCGCGGCCUCUUGACGGUUUUCCGUCGAUUGGCUGUGGGAAGUUCGUUAAACCUUNUNAUUUAGNGGAAGGAGAANUCGUANCA
This 327-nucleotide ribosomal RNA is filed under the name uncultured eukaryote. Its description in RNAcentral is "partial 18S ribosomal RNA". It matches the Rfam family "Eukaryotic small subunit ribosomal RNA", at positions 1470 to 1796 of the family's 1831-position model. The record is from RNAcentral.